GGAUGAAUAAGGGGCAUGUGUUCUGAGCCCCUUGUUAUAAAGAUGAAGAGAAAUGACUCAGAGAGCCAAGGGUCAAGUGAGGUCAUGGAGCUGGGCAGGCACAUGGCGUGGCCUCGAUGCUCAGCUAGGGCUUCGGCAUUCCAGAGUAAAGUAGGCCAUGGGCCCAGACGGCUGGGAUGAGCCUGCCUUCCUCCGAAGGCACAGACACAUUCUGUCUCCACGAUUCACACUCCUGUCCCCAGAGUUUGCUGUUGUCUGGCGCACAGGAAAAGCUGCUGGGGCCCGGACGCAAGCUGGGGACACGCUUCUGCACCUCCUCGGGACAGAAGGCGAACGAGAGCCCAGGGAUCACCUCAGGCCAGAGUGAGCCACCAGGACAUGCAGAGCUGUGCGGGGCCACGUGUGCCUGUGAGCCGCCGGCACCCGGUGGGCACGUCCCCAGCUAAACACCCACUCCAAGGACUCGCUUCCUGACGCUGGAGGCUCAGCCCCGUCUUCAGAAUGAAGGAGACAGGUUACUGUACACAGAAAUCUAGACACAGGCACGGGUUUUCAAACACAAUGUGAAAAGAGAACUCUGUUGAGAGUACAAAACGUGACCAGACAGAGGUUUUAUUACUGAAGGACAGUGACGUGCCAUGUUCUCUCGGACCUUGGUCACCCUGGAAGUACUCACCGCUUGGCUAUCCGGGGAAAGGGUAAUAAAAAGCUCAGGGGAAGAAAUGCAGUCAAAUGCUGCCGGGGGCCCAGAGCUGACAGCUCAGGGAGACGAGAGUCCCCAGUUGGUUGGUUUCUACUUUCUAGGAUGCUGAAAACGAGAUACCUGGCGCGUCCUGGGUUUACUUUUUAAUAAAUAUCCUUUCUCC
Molecule: long non-coding RNA, 866 nt
Organism: Suricata suricatta (meerkat)
Lineage: Eukaryota; Metazoa; Chordata; Mammalia; Carnivora; Herpestidae
Exons: 3
Source: RefSeq, a predicted model, not a curated record